GAGCGUCGUGGGAUGGCACGACCGGUAAGCUCGCGGACGUGGUUGAUCUUUCUCUGUAACGUUUACAAAUAAGAGUAAUAGAAGUGAGAAAAGCUGCAGUUGUUGCACGCAGCACCAAAAACCCUCUCCUCCGUCUACCUUCAGCCCUCUGCGAUCUGCGAGAGAGAGAGAGCACUCCGACGUCUUCGGUUCCAACAUCUCUUGCUCUAAGACUCUGGGCAAAAGGCAGGUCCGACUUGUUGUUUGAAAGGUACCAUUUUCACACACAUCCGCUUAUAUGGAUACCCACUUACCUUUGAAGAUAAUUCAGCAUGCCGAGAGCAAGAAAAGGAAGACCCAGAGUUCCGACUCAGUGGAUCUUCACGAAGGUCUCUCUCUGGAGCCAUAUCCAUGUCGGGAUUGUAGGUAUGAAAAAUCAAGUCCUUUUGCUUCCUGUCCUCGAUCCGUGCAAAUGAAGGCACCGAUGAGUCCUUCAAACCCAGCGUUUGUGGCUUCCUCACCUUCAUCUCGCGCCUCAAGCACCAAUGCCGACUUUACCAUUAACGUUGGGUUAGCCGACACUUCAAUUGUAACAGUAAUAAUUUGCAAAUGUCUCCAUACCUUAUAUGUAUUCCUUUAUCUUUUUGAACAGGGCCAAGGCAACACUCAAGGAAAAGACGACUCCUUCCAUAGCCGCUAGUGCUGGAGCAGAGACAAUAAGCUGUGGUGGUGCUGUCAUGAACACUAGUGAGUCGGCAAGGACUGAGCUAGCCCAAGGUACUCCCUUCCAAGAUGAGCCGAUCUUGGAUGACUCAGUCCUUCAAGACCAACAAGAGGCAAUGAUGGAUGUGGUGAUGGAUAACAUGCCACCAGCCAUGGCCAGUCCUAAGCCGGUGGAAGAUGAGGUGGUGGUUACUCAUACUAAACACCAUACUCCACCCAAGACUUUGACAGUUCUGGUGAAAACUACAGUGGAACAUAACUCGGCUCCACCUAGUGAGCCGACUCAUGACGCCCAUCUCGAAUAAUAUGAAGACAUGGGUUUAUCAUCCCUUCACCAUGAGUAUGUAGAGGCAGAGCCUAUCAGCAUUUGUGUCGGCGCAGCAACUGUCAAUUCUUGAAAAAAUGAUUUUUCGCUUUGGUUACCCACACAACGUUAUCAUUUAUAAUGGCACCAACUUGUCCAAAUAAGCUAUGAAGCAGUUUUGCGAGAAGGAGCACAUCCGACUAGAUCUGGCCUCUGUAUCACAUCCGUAGUCUAACGGUAAAGCAAAGUGCCAAUCACGAACAAUUGCAUGGGAUUAAGCCAUGACUCAUGGUUCCCCUUGAGCGCACUCAUGGAUUGUGGGUUGAGGUGUUGGAAAUAUGCCCUAGAGACAAUAAUAAAUUGGUUAUUAUCAUAUUUACUUGUUCGUGAUAAUUGUUUAUUAUCAAUGGUGUAAUUGUAUUGGCCGAAAACUCAGAUACAUGUGUGGAUACAUAGACAACACCGUGUCACUAGUGAGGAUCUAUUAGAGUAGCUCAUUGAUCAAAGAUGGUUAAUGUUUCUAACCAUAGACAUGAGUUGUUGUGUGAUAAUGAGAUCACAUCAUUAGGAGAAUGAUGUGAUGGAUAGGACCCAACCGUAAGCAUAGCAUUUAAUCGUAUCCUAAGUUUAUUUC
RNAcentral lists this long non-coding RNA (1640 nucleotides) under Hordeum vulgare. RNAcentral's name for it is "long non-coding RNA (HVUL_LNC010460)". Lineage: Eukaryota; Viridiplantae; Streptophyta; Magnoliopsida; Poales; Poaceae. The record is from RNAcentral.